This 305-nucleotide ribosomal RNA is filed under the name uncultured bacterium. RNAcentral's name for it is "bacterial SSU rRNA". It matches the Rfam family "Bacterial small subunit ribosomal RNA", at positions 335 to 637 of the family's 1533-position model. The record is from RNAcentral.
UUGCCUACGGGGGGCAGCAGUGAGGAAUAUUGGUCAAUGGUCGGGAGACUGAACCAGCCAAGCCGCGUGAGGGAUGAAGGUACAGAGUAUCGUAAACCUCUUUUGUCAGGGAGCAAUUGAGUCCACGUGUGGGCUUAGCGAGAGUACCUGAAGAAAAAGCAUCGGCUAACUCCGUGCCAGCAGCCGCGGUAAUACGGAGGAUGCGAGCGUUAUCCGGAUUUAUUGGGUUUAAAGGGUGCGUAGGCGGAAUAUCAAGUCAGCGGUAAAUAUUCGGGUCUCAACCCCGUCGUGCUGUUGAACCUGCU